This 285-nucleotide long non-coding RNA is filed under the name Elaeis guineensis (African oil palm). RNAcentral's name for it is "long non-coding RNA (EGUI_LNC022016)". Lineage: Eukaryota; Viridiplantae; Streptophyta; Magnoliopsida; Arecales; Arecaceae. The record is from RNAcentral.
GAACUUAGGCCGACGUCGUACAGAGCUUGCUCGGUGACGAGCUCCCUCUGCUUCGGCAUCGACACAUCCUUCAGUCGGUGAAAGUCCUCUCGAUCUCUAGCCUUCAUUCGACUGUUUUCGUUCGACUGAGUCCGAGGGUCGCCCCAGGGAGAAGGAAACCCCCAAGGUAGUGAAGAAGCAAAGAAAAAUUAGUUCUUUCACCCAUGGAUCGAUGAUGGAAGAUCGAUAAUGAACGAAAGACCCUUCCGGAGAUUGAAGAACCACCACACUCGGACUUUCGGGUGG